AAACAGUAUAAGGAUUGGUAUACACAGUAGUUUUCAGAACAAAGGUUCAUCAGUGAAAGGGAGGCAUGCUGCUUGUUGGAAUAGAGACUGGAGAUGUAUUAGGUCAGAAACCAAAUUUGACUCCGGUUCAGGUUGGCCUUCGUUCCACGAUGUGAUCAGUUCUGAGGCAAUCACAUUCACAGAUGACUUUUCCUAUGGGAUGCACAGGGUGGAAACAAGCUGCUCUCAGUGUGGUGCUCACCUUGGGCACAUUUUUGACGAUGGGCCUCGUCCAACUGGGAAAAGAUACUGCAUAAAUUCGGCUGCCUUGUCUUUCACACCUGCGGAUAGCAGUGGCGCCGCCGAGGGAGAAAGUGGGGUCGCCAGCCCAGCCCAGGCAGACAAAGCAGAGCUCUAGAGUAAUGGAGAGUGAUGGAAAC
RNAcentral lists this small RNA (419 nucleotides) under Pongo abelii (Sumatran orangutan). Its description in RNAcentral is "processed transcript". The record is from RNAcentral. Lineage: Eukaryota; Metazoa; Chordata; Mammalia; Primates; Hominidae.